Molecule: long non-coding RNA, 1674 nt
Organism: Rattus norvegicus (Norway rat)
Lineage: Eukaryota; Metazoa; Chordata; Mammalia; Rodentia; Muridae
Source: RefSeq, a predicted model, not a curated record
GAGUGCACAAUGUCAUCAGCGUAAUGAAGAGUAAACAUUUAUGCUAAUAAUCUGCAAUUUUUUUCAUCAGCUAUAAAGACAGAGGCUAUAUAGCCGAAAUUUUCAGUUCUAUUCUGCAAGCUCAGAGCUGCAAAAAGCCUGCGGCGCUCGGAGGCGCCCAGUCCUGGGGACCUCUUUCCUCUACUCUUUAUUCUCAGCAUAGGAAGAUGGGACUGGGGAAUUCUUUUUGGUUUUCUGGUUUUGUUUUGCUCUGGUUUUGGUCGGGUUUUGUAUUUUCCUAUUCUUCCUUGGUUUUAUUUUUUCCUUUUUUUUUUCUCUUUUGCUUUUUUCUUUUCUGUCAUUCUCCCAGCCAAAAGCCGCCUUCGACCCUUUUGAUUUGAUGUAGCAAAGAGUGUGUGUCCAGAUUAUCUGAAAUAGACACUGAAGAAGCAGCGGCUCCUGCCUGCAGAUUUCCUCUUCUGAUUAAAGGCAUGAGGCUGAAACAUUUCAUGCAGCAUCUUGGUUGGAGCAAAAGAGAAAAACAAAAAAAGAGGAAAAAAACCAAACCAAACCAAACCAAACCAAACCAACCAACCAAACAAACAAACAAAAAAACAGUCCAAAAUCUGUAAACCAAUAAAGGGUUUGCCAACGCCUGAGAAAGGUUUUUAUUUUUACUUAAUCGCCGAACCACACGGUGAGGCUUUGUAGCACCAACCAACUAAGAACGCCAACUCUGCUCGUCCUGGUCUUCAUGUCGUAUUCGUGAUUUUAAUUGCUCCUCCUUAGCGCCUGUUUUGGGGUGUGGAGUGUCGUCCUGUGCGCCCAACGGAGCCGCUUGGAUGCCAUCUGAACCGAAGGUCUCUUCGCCUUGCGGGCCUUGCCCAUAGAAGGGGGCCCCAGCUCUGCAGGCUGCGAUUGCUUCGUCUCUACACGCCCUGGCAACCUCCACUAACUUUGUACCACUUUCAUCCACAUUGCCCACCAGAAAGGUUUCGGAGGUGUCUCCAUGGUAGCCAUUGUAAUAGACCUAAACACAGGCACACAUUUUAAGAAGCGCCAUGUGAUUUUGAACGACAUCGGGCUCAUCAUGAGAGACCAAUGAUUACAGCACCAGAGCACAUGGAGGGGGCAGAGGAGACUGGUUGGCUGUUGACCCUUGGACACCAUGUGGCAUUUACUGUUUUGCAUAAACUUAGCCCAUCUAAUUAUCUUCACGGUUCCCCUUUUCCUGAGGUGAACACAGGGACUCUGAGAAGAUCUGUUUAUUUAAGCUUUGUCUGAGUUAAUGUCAUACCCAUCGCCAUCAGGCAAUGAAGACCAUGUUCUCCUGGGCAGCAAGAAGAUGAUGCAAAAGGCUUCACAGAGAUCGCUGGCUUUUAAGUCAGGAAACUGAGGCAGAGACAAAUAAAGUGUGCGGGUUCCUGACAGAGGAGAAAGGUACAUCCCAACCAGUCUGGUAGACUGAUGGCUUCUUAAUCCCCCCACGGUACAGCCAUGCUUGCUAAUUCAUUCCCACUUACAUUCCCUUCCAGAAAAAUGUAAGCUUUUGUCAUAUACACUAAUUUAUAAUUUGUUAAUAUAAGUGUAGUUAUUCAAGAAAUUUUGCAACUGCAUGUUUUUAAGUAAAAUGUAUUCUUUAACUUCAUUUAGCUCGCUGUUCCAUGUUACCUUAAAAUUAAAAAUAUGUAGAAA